RNAcentral lists this ribosomal RNA (174 nucleotides) under Ipnops sp. CBM:ZF:10634. Its description in RNAcentral is "partial 12S rRNA". Lineage: Eukaryota; Metazoa; Chordata; Actinopteri; Aulopiformes; Ipnopidae. The record is from RNAcentral.
CACCGCGGUUAUACGAGAGGCCUGAGUUGAUAGACACCGGCGUAAAGGGUGGUUAGGGACAAAACCUGUUCUAGAGUCGAACACCUCCACAGCUGUUAUACGCACCCGGAGAUACGAAGCCCCACCACGAAAGUGACUCUACGCCCUCCCCCCGAACCCACUGCAGCUAUGGAA